UACGAAGGGGGCUAGCGUUGUUCGGAAUCACUGGGCGUAAAGGGCGCGUAGGCGGCUUUGUAAGUCGGGGGUGAAAGCCUGUGGCUCAACCACAGAAUUGCCUUCGAUACUGCACGGCUUGAGACCGGAAGAGGUUAGUGGAACUGCGAGUGUAGAGGUGAAAUUCGUAGAUAUUCGCAAGAACACCAGUGGCGAAGGCGGCUGACUGGUCCGGUUCUGACGCUGAGGCGCGAAAGCGUGGGGAGCAAACGGG
This 253-nucleotide ribosomal RNA is filed under the name uncultured bacterium. RNAcentral's name for it is "partial 16S ribosomal RNA". It matches the Rfam family "Bacterial small subunit ribosomal RNA", at positions 524 to 776 of the family's 1533-position model. The record is from RNAcentral.